AGUCAAAUUAAGCUUGUCACUCACCCAAAGCAUACAUUCGUUUAUGAAACCUAGAUCUGUCGGGUGGAAGAUCAGAUCUUGGUAAGGGAGGCAUCGAUCCAUCCAACUCAUGGCAAAAACUAAGGAAGGGGCCGAUCUGAAGCACAGCAUCGAAAACACAGAGCCUCUGGUUGUACCUAACACGGCUCCAGAUACCUCUGGUUCCCUGCCUGGCGAGAUGUUCGCUCUCGCUGAUGUCUGGCACUCAUUCGGAUGACUUUUAAUCCUUUGAACGCAAGGAACCAGAGCAAGAAACCAAAAAAAAAAUACACAUUACGAAAAUAAUCUGCACCCAAUACAAACAAGGCUGUCACGCAUUUUAAUUUAUGUUGCAGCAAAAUUGGCCAAAAGAAAAUGGACAUUAUUAAUAUUAUUAUCAUCAUCAUCAUCAUCAUCACCACCACCAUCACCAUCGUCAUCUGUUGGAGGUACUUUUACUGUUGAACUGGAAUGAAACAGGAAACCAUAAAAACAAGUGUCGAAAUGUCUAUUUACACUGAUGGCAGGGCUAGCGUUAGGGCAACUUUUUUUAAAAACGUGGGAGUUAUUCUGUUGUCCUUGAACACUUUAAAUGUCCCAUCCACUUAUUUCCAUCUGCUGCAUUCCUAGCGAGAAGGAAACAAAAAUCAUUUAAAUAAGUGUUUGGGGGUAAACAUGGUUUAUUGACAAGACUCUGUUAUCGUUAUUAACGGUAAAACUGCAACUGAGAGAUUGACACGAGUUCUAUAUGUAAACCAUAAUAGAAAUGUACAACUAAUAGCUGUUUUGUCAAUGAUUAUAAAAGUCUACAGGUUAGUUUUGCUAUUUGUCUCAACUAUGUAUUUAUAUUUACUUUAAUCAAUCAGUUAUUUUAAAAAAAACAGUUUUGCUAUAUAUGGCAAUCAAAAAAUUAUUUUACUUCGCAGAAUUUAUAGAAUUGCAGAAUUUAUAUAAUUGCAAUUGGGGGUUGCGAAUGAACUUGUGCAAACUCGUAGGUAAACAUGAACAGAAUUUAUCUUUUUACGAGAAUGGUGGAAAUAUCGCCACUGUUUCAGUCAACACUCUGUUUGGUCGAUUCGUUGUAAAACGCCAACCGGUUCUGAAGAAGGUAAACCGGAUUUUUUUUUUUGCUGUGGCAAAGUAAAGUCUCACUCCACACAAUAAAAGUUAACUGAAGCCAAA
Callorhinchus milii (elephant shark) is the source of this 1200-nucleotide long non-coding RNA. RefSeq lists it as uncharacterized. The transcript is spliced from 2 exons. NCBI's taxonomy places the organism in Eukaryota, Metazoa, Chordata, Chondrichthyes, Chimaeriformes, Callorhinchidae. The record is from RefSeq and is a predicted model, not a curated record.